CGCAGAUCCCGAGAAUCCAGCAGGGUCUCCGGGUAUGAGUCUGGUUGUCCCUCACCAGGACGAUCCCGCCUGGCUAUGAUAUCAUCUCUCACUUCCUGCCAGCCAGUGAUCUCAGCCACACUUGGAGCAGUCAGCGGGGCCCCCGGGGUUACCGAGCGCUUCCUGGAGGCCAGGCAGUGUCUGAGCACUUCGUAUCCACUGAUAGGUUUAAUCUCCCAACAACUGAAGAGGAUAAGCCACACGACGGCAACCUUUUCCUCUGCUGCAGCCCCAGUGCCAAGAACAACACCAAGCGUACUGCAGAGACAAGCUGUUUGUGAAUGAAGGCAUAAGUGCCCAUUUUCCGCAAGAGAAAGUUGUGGCUCAGUGGGGCCAGGUACAGAGGAUGACAAGGUCCCGGAGGAUGGGGGAGCCACAGGAAGGGGGAGCCUGGGUCCCUGCAUCACUGCAUGGAGAGUCGUCUACCGACCAGGAACACCCACUGGGACUAUUCACGAGUGAGAAAUAAAUUUCUAUGGUGUCUGAGC
This 527-nucleotide long non-coding RNA is filed under the name Equus caballus (horse). RNAcentral describes it as "lncRNA (ENSECAG00000048176.1)". Lineage: Eukaryota; Metazoa; Chordata; Mammalia; Perissodactyla; Equidae. The record is from RNAcentral.